ACUUAGAUGGCGUGCAUGUGAGCGGAUGCCAAUUGCGAUAACUGUGAUUUUUAGAAUGUGCGAUAAUUAGAGAAUAGCGAAUUAGUAAGUGGAUAAAGAAGGGAAAAGGGGAAGAACAAAAAAAAUUAAAAAGAGGAAAAAGAUUUUGUUAUCCUGACAUUAUGUUUUGAAGAUGAGUUAAUAAACAGAGAAAAGGAGAUACAAAAGCAGUGAGAAGAUAGCAAAAUUUCUAAGGCAAGGUACAACGAGUUAGAUAAAGAUAUAAGGAAUUAGGGGUGAAUAACAAGAAAUAUACGUCAUAUCUGAGAAAAGAAAACUUAGAAGAAUGGAAAAAAAGGAAUAAGAUAAGAGCUCUGUUUCAAUUAAGAUGUGAGAAUUUAGAGGAAAUGAUAACUUGUAGCAGUAUGUGGAGAAAUGCACGAUGACAAAAAAAAGAUUUAUUAAAUUAGGAGAGAAAAGAGGGAUAUUAAGGAGAUGAUGAAGAGACCAAAUAAAAAGGGAAAUAUUAAGAAAAUUAUGGAAAGAUAGUGAUAAAAUUUUAAGAAAAAAAGAAGAGAGAAAGAAUACAUGAUCUAGAGAGGAAAAAUAAUGGCAAUGGGAAAUUAGGAGUGGUGCAAUUAGCGGAAAGAGGCAAUAAGAAUGGAUACAGUAAAUUUCAAAAGAAAUAAAAGCAUAUGAUAACAAGCAGAUGACGAUUAUAGGCUAUGAUUAAGGCUGUGGUCUAGAUAUUUUAAUUUAAUUUAAUUUAGUCUACAGUAUUAGAAUUAGAUAUAGAAUAAAAGCAGAUAAGGUAUGAAAGAUAAGGUAUAAAAGAAUACAAAGAGAAUAUACAGGAUAAAACUGGAUGUAGCAAGAAAUAAUAAAAAUAGUAAUAUAGUAAUGGAUAGUAACGCGCAGGCGAGAUAAAUGGAUGAAUUAAGGCUGUAUGUGUAAACCAAGUUCUCUUUUUGGCAGUGUAUGUUGAAAUGUAAUAAAUUCUAUUCUAUUCUAUAUUUUCUAUUCAUAAAAUGCGUAAGUGCAGAAAUAAUUAAGUGCAUAGUUGACGUAAUUAAAAUACAUCAAGCAUAAUGUCUUACCAUACUCUGCACUUCGCUCAGAUUCAGUGCAGCCAUUCUCCUUGUCUUCAAUCUCCUUGCGCUCUUCUUCAGCCACUAAUUCAUCGAGAUCUUUCUUCUUUUUCUUCUUUUUCUUUGUUUUU
This is a long non-coding RNA of Acromyrmex echinatior (Panamanian leafcutter ant), 1198 nucleotides long. Lineage: Eukaryota; Metazoa; Arthropoda; Insecta; Hymenoptera; Formicidae. The record is from RefSeq and is a predicted model, not a curated record.